RNAcentral lists this ribosomal RNA (459 nucleotides) under uncultured bacterium. RNAcentral's name for it is "partial 16S ribosomal RNA". It matches the Rfam family "Bacterial small subunit ribosomal RNA", at positions 339 to 795 of the family's 1533-position model. The record is from RNAcentral.
CUACGGGCCGCAGCAGUAGGGAAUAUUGGGCAAUGGACGGAAGUCUGACCCAGCCAUCCCGCGUGCAGGAAGAAUGCCCUAUGGGUUGUAAACUGCUUUUGUUUGGGAAGAAAUGUACUUUUUCAAGAGUAUUUGACGGUACCAGACGAAUAAGCACCGGCUAACUCCGUGCCAGCAGCCGCGGUAAUACGGAGGGUGCAAGCGUUAUCCGGAAUCACUGGGUUUAAAGGGUGCGUAGGCGGCCAGAUAAGUCAGAGGUGAAAGUUUCCGGCUCAACCGGGAGAUUGCCUUUGAUACUGUUUGGCUUGAAUCAGAUUGAGGUUGGCGGAAUGUGACAUGUAGCGGUGAAAUGCAUAGAUAUGUCAUAGAACAUCGAUUGCGAAGGCAGCUGGCUGGAUCUGUAUUGACGCUGAGGCACGAAAGCGUGGGGAGCAAACAGGAUUAGAUACCCCCGUAGUC